This 492-nucleotide ribosomal RNA is filed under the name uncultured bacterium. Its description in RNAcentral is "partial 16S ribosomal RNA". It matches the Rfam family "Bacterial small subunit ribosomal RNA", at positions 28 to 507 of the family's 1533-position model. The record is from RNAcentral.
GAUGAACGCUAGCUACAGGCUUAACACAUGCAAGUCGAGGGGAAACGGCAUCGUAAGCUUGCUUUUGAUGGGCGUCGACCGGCGCACGGGUGAGUAACGCGUAUCCAACCUGCCCAUCACUUGUGAAUAACCUUGCGAAAGUAAGACUAAUGCCCAAUGACAUCCCACGAAGGCAUCCGAAUGGGAUUAAAGAUUUAUCUGUGAUGGAGGGGGAUGCGUCUGAUGAGCUUGUUGGCGGUGUGACGGCCCACCAAGGCAACGAUCAGUAGGGGUUCUGAGAGGAAGGUCCCCCACAGUGGAACUGAGAAAAGGUGCAAACUGCUACGGGCGGCAGUAGUGAGGGGUAUUGGUCAAUGGGCGAGAGCCUGAACCAGCCAAGUAGCGUGCAGGAUGACGGCCCUAUGGGUUGUAAACUGCUUUUAUAAGGGAACAAAGUGCGUCACGGGUGACUUUUUGCAUGUAACUUAUGAAUAAGGACCGGCUAAUUCCGUG